GACGAACGCUGGCGGCGUGCUUAACACAUGCAAGUCGAACGGUAAGGCCCUUCGGGGUACACGAGUGGCGAACGGGUGAGUAACACGUGGGUGAUCUGCCCUGCACUUCGGGAUAAGCCUGGGACACUGGGUCCAAUACCGGAUAGGACCACUGCCUGCAUGGGUGGUGGUGGAAAGCUUUUGCGGGGUGGGAUGGGCCCGCGGCCUAUCAGCUUGUUGGUGGGGUGAUGGCCUACCAAGGCGACGACGGGUAGCCGGCCUGAGAGGGUGACCGGCCACACUGGGACUGAGAUACGGCCCAGACUCCUACGGGAGGCAGCAGUGGGGAAUAUUGCACAAUGGGCGCAAGCCUGAUGCAGCGACGCCGCGUGAGGGAUGACGGCCUUCGGGUUGUAAACCUCUUUCAGCACCGACGAAGCGCAAGUGACGGUAGGUGCAGAAGAAGGACCGGCCAACUACGUGCCAGCCGCCGCGGUAA
RNAcentral lists this ribosomal RNA (478 nucleotides) under uncultured bacterium. Its description in RNAcentral is "partial 16S ribosomal RNA". It matches the Rfam family "Bacterial small subunit ribosomal RNA", at positions 28 to 523 of the family's 1533-position model. The record is from RNAcentral.